UCCGCGUUCACCGCGAAUUCUACAGAUUACCAGUUCCCACAACACAGCUGGCCAAGAUUUCCAAACUGCUUUUAACACUGGAAAAAGGACAACUUUCCCAGAUCCAGGGGAAAUCACUGGAUGAGAUCAAAAUAGAAGAUGAAAUUGCAUUAAGUGAUGCUGAAACAAAGGACAGUGAGAGUGAAUCAGAUGAUGAUGACACAGCACUCACAAUGUUGGCGUGUGGCACCAGUGAGCCUGUACAUGCAGUAGCUGAUUCCACAAACACAGCGCAGCUCCAAGACACUGUAGAUUGUGCAGAUGAAGGACCACUCACAAUGCCUGCAGCAAGUGAGACUGCUGCUCCCUCUGAAGAGAAAAAUGCUGCUCAAUCCCACAAUUCCCGAAGAGCUCCCAAAAACAUGUGGUCCAAGGCUGAGGUUGCUGCAGUGAUGAGGCAUUUUAAAGACCACAUAAACGAAGGGAAACUAGCCACCAAAAAUGAAUGCAGUCAUUGCAAAUUGGUAGAAGAUCCGGUGUUGGCAGGAAGAACAGUUCAAAACAUAAGAGAUUUUGUAAGAAACAGAGGAUUAACUGCAAAAAGGCAGAAAAAAAUGAACUAAAAUAACUGUUUAGAGAGCUGUGGUUUUACAUCUUGGUCAGAUUGCCAAUUGUUGUUAACACUGAUGUUCUGUUUAAAGAAAAAAAAGUUCUUGUUAAAUACAGAAGUAGUUUGUAUUUCAUAAUUUUUACAUUUAAUUUAUUUAGGGUUUUUUUUGACGGGUUAUAUUUAAAAUAAAAAAUUAUAAAUGCAUAUUUUCUCCCCUUAAUAUUUACCUUUAAACUAUUAAAAUUCAUUUUAAAUGUUUUUAAUUUUUCUGUUUUCUAUAUUUUUAUAUUUCUGUGGGAAGCGUGGGCAUUUUUGUCCAUAGAUUUCUUUUUUUAUUUAUGGUUAAAAUUAAUGUUCAGAUCCAAGAACACUAAUAAAAUGAUGUUCCAGUAA
This is a non-coding RNA of Maylandia zebra (zebra mbuna), 982 nucleotides long. The record is from RefSeq and is a predicted model, not a curated record. NCBI's taxonomy places the organism in Eukaryota, Metazoa, Chordata, Actinopteri, Cichliformes, Cichlidae.